Long non-coding RNA from Bradysia coprophila, 67 nucleotides. The record is from RefSeq and is a predicted model, not a curated record. Lineage: Eukaryota; Metazoa; Arthropoda; Insecta; Diptera; Sciaridae.
GGGAACGUCAAAUUUUCUGAACAGAAAAUCCAAACGAAAACACAAAUGGAAACCGGAAGUGCUAUUC